CUGCUAAGCCAUCUCUCCAGUCCAGAACUACUUUUUAAAAAUAGGUUCUUUGGUCUGGAGAGAUGGCUUAGCAGU
This 75-nucleotide microRNA precursor is filed under the name Jaculus jaculus (lesser Egyptian jerboa). Its description in RNAcentral is "miRNA (ENSJJAG00000002732.1)". Lineage: Eukaryota; Metazoa; Chordata; Mammalia; Rodentia; Dipodidae. The record is from RNAcentral.